GAGGAGUAGCAGGAGGUCAUAGUCUUGGAGGCUUCCAUCAUGCUCCAAGGCGCGGAACAGACUAACCUCGUGAGUGGCAGGGCGGGGGAGCCUAAGUAUCACAAGCCACCACGGGUGCAUGACCCACCAUAGCUCGACUAUCACUCUAAAGUCCGAACGAGUCAAGUCUAGAAGAUAACAUGCUAGGAUCUGUGUUGUAUAUAUUGCCUUGCUUGUAUGUUCAUGUUGGUAUAAUUGCAUGCUUUUUAUAUAAUUAGCUCACCCUUGCUUGCUUGUUGUGUUGUGCCAUGUUGUGUGUGCUUUCCUGUUGCAAUGAUCAUCCACUUGGAUGUGAGCAGAGGAAGAUGAGGUUCCUUUGGAGUCAGCUUUGGAAGGAGAUGGCGAUGCUGCAGUCUAGCCCUCUAGGCUUCACUUCUCUGAGUCUAUGUUAU
Molecule: long non-coding RNA, 431 nt
Filed under: Vigna radiata
Lineage: Eukaryota; Viridiplantae; Streptophyta; Magnoliopsida; Fabales; Fabaceae
Description: long non-coding RNA (VRAD_LNC008968)
Source: RNAcentral